Molecule: ribosomal RNA, 498 nt
Filed under: uncultured bacterium
Lineage: Bacteria
Description: partial 16S ribosomal RNA
Rfam family: Bacterial small subunit ribosomal RNA
Source: RNAcentral
GACGAACGCUGGCGGCGUGCCUAAUACAUGCAAGUCGAACGAGAGCGACCGGUGCUUGCACUGGUCAAUCUAGUGGCGCACGGGUGAGUAACACGUGGGUAACCUGCCCAUCAGAGGGGGAUAACAUUCGGAAACGGAUGCUAAAACCGCAUAGGUCUUCGAACCGCAUGGUUUGAAGAGGAAAAGAGGCGCAAGCUUCUGCUGAUGGAUGGACCCGCGGUGCAUUAGCUAGUUGGUGAGGUAACGGCUCACCAAGGCCGUGAUGCAUAGCCGACCUGAGAGGGUGAUCGGCCACAUUGGGACUGAGACACGGCCCAAACUCCUACGGGAGGCAGCAGUAGGGAAUCUUCCGCAAUGGACGCAAGUCUGACGGAGCAACGCCGCGUGAGUGAAGAAGGUGUUCGGAUCGUAAAACUCUGUUGUUAGAGAAGAAUAAGUGCUAGAGUAACUGUUAGCGCCUUGACGGUAUCUAACCAGAAAGCCACGGCUAACUACGUG